Long non-coding RNA from Empidonax traillii (willow flycatcher), 1769 nucleotides. RefSeq lists it as uncharacterized. The transcript has 5 exons. Lineage: Eukaryota; Metazoa; Chordata; Aves; Passeriformes; Tyrannidae. The record is from RefSeq and is a predicted model, not a curated record.
GGCACCGGCACCUGCCCCGACCCUCCCCGGACAACAACACCAGGUCCCCGAGGCGACGCUGGACUGUUCCCCGGCCAGGGAGAUCUCAUAGAUGGAUCCAACCCUGCCCCUGACAGAGGUCUCUGAAGAAUUCAGGGGAUUCGGGGUGCCAACAAAACCCCGGGGCAGACGGGACAGCGAGCGGUACCAGAGGGACACGCGUGGCCCUCGGGAGCAGGGACAGCACUGCGGGCAAGCUGUGCUGAGGUCGGGGAUGGACUGGCAAGAGGAAUCCCCAGGGCCCCAGCAGGAUGCAUUAACAGUGUGUCUCUCUGGUGAGCCGUGAUGGGAAGAGCACGGAGCAAAAAAAAAAAAAAAAAAAAAAAAGAAGGUAAAGUGGUUAAAAACAACUUGUAUUUUCAGAGCCCAGUCUCCCACAGAAAUCUUGGGAGAUGCUGAGCUCUCCACUUCUUGACUUGCAAGCAGAAAUAAUGCUUUAGAAGCCCAGCUGAGACUCCUGGGUUUUAAAUUUUCUACAAUAUUUUCCUCCAGCCCCAUUUGCCGUCCUGCUAAUUAAUCCAGCUAAUGGCUGGGUGUUUUUUUUUUUAACUUCAGCAGCAGUUUCUCUUUUUGUUAACACAAGCAGAGAGAACACGAAGCACAGAUCUCUCGAAGGAUCCAGGCUGACAGCAAUAUUGCCAUCUGACUGAAGAGAACUCAGACACACAUAAUCCUCGGGAAAAUUCAUCUCCACCCUCCCGCAGACCCCGCUCUCCCGUCCCUCUGCCUUUCUCCCUCUCCACCUUCCCUCUGAUUGCUGAGCAGCUUUUUGACUUUUCCAUCAAUAAGUCUAAAGAGCAUUUGAAGCGCUCUGGUCCCCCCUUUUCUCCUCCCUCCAGUUCCAAGUCAGGCGAGCUCAUCGAUCAGAGGAGCUCAGGAAAUAUCUGGUGUUUUGUUGUCAGGCUGAUAAUAACAUUGCAGUUGUGAAUGGGCUGCUGCAGGCCUGAUCAUGGACACCUGCAGGGUUUGUUUAAUUGCAUUUAAUGACAAAUCCUAUACAGAGGAGCAUUGCCAGAGAGAUUUAUUAUCCACCAAAGAGGCAAAGCACAACAGCUCAAAAUAUAAUUUGCACUGAGCCUUUUUCCCCCUGCCUCUCUUUAAAGCAGUGUAAUAAAUGGCAAAUCGGGUAAAGUGGGCACCACGGGUCUGGGGAGGAGGUGGGGGCAGAGGACGGAGAUUGAAACCAAAGGAAAUAACAGCAAUAAGGCCACAUUGUUCUCUCUGCCAUCCCUGUGGUCUGGGCCAGAGGAAAUACUGUUUGUUUAAUUUACAGCCUGGCAGUGCAGCUGGGGAUCUCUCGGUGAUGAGCCUGUUCUGACACAGCUGGGGGCCCACAGUCCCCACUCCUCCUCUAACCAGGCUUUUUUCCCCUCCCGUGUUCUGCAGUCUAAGUUUAGCUCCCAGCCAUACAAACAAUUAGCAAGGAGCUCCAGCAGCCUGCCAGCUGCCACUGGCACGAGGAGCCACGAGCUUCCACGGCCCUGAGAUCUCUGGGACAAAGCAGUGGUGUCCUGAAAAAUAUCACACUGAGAAAUACGGCCCCACGGAGACAGAUCCCACGAGCUGGAGUCUAGACAAAAGUCUUGCACGACUCUGAGCCUGGAAUUUAUGUUUCCUGCUAAAUAGCCUGCUCUGAAGAGGGAAUGGCUGUGUGUAAAAGCAGCAGAAGAGCUCAGGCCUUGCUCGUACUUCUUUUGUCUUGAUUUUUAUGUGAUUUUCUAGCAAUGAUU